RNAcentral lists this long non-coding RNA (901 nucleotides) under Homo sapiens (human). RNAcentral describes it as "non-protein coding lnc-DRD5-10:21". The record is from RNAcentral. Lineage: Eukaryota; Metazoa; Chordata; Mammalia; Primates; Hominidae.
ACUCCAAGCUGUGUUGCUUCAGAGAGAAGUUGCUAAGAAGGCUUCUGUUGCAAAUGGCACAAGCUGAAUGUUUCCCAGUGCCAGGCAAUCCCUCACCCAAGACAACUUGUACAGGCCCUUCACAUCCUCUUGGUGCUUUUUCAACACAGCAGCUGUACAGGCUGACUUCUGUCAAUCUGUGUUUUCCAAAGCACCAUCUAUUGAAAAGUCUCUUAUUUCUCCAUUAAAUUUUUUGGCACCUUCAUUGAAAAUCAGUCGAGCAUAAAUGCUGGAACAGCUCAUCAGUCUUUCCUUGAAGUUCAUACUCUUGACAUGUAUCAAGAUUACAGAAAUCUCCAAGUGAGAAGACCUUACUUGUCUUCUGAAAGUCUGAAAAGCUGGGAUACAUGAAGACUGCCAUCCCUUGAGUCACUUGCCCUGUAGCUGCCACUGUUGGAAAAGGGCUUGCUUCUGUGUCCUUGUGCCCACUUUGAAAAUCCCUGGGAAGUCCUUGGAGUCAGAUGAGCAGGCCUCCGCCACUCUGCCAAAAAGUCUGUUCAGAAGUUUCACAUCACUAGAGAAGAGAGAAGAAGGACAUUUGUACUGGGAGGAGUCGACCGGUCCCAGUAAGGAGAAAGUAGCUACAGCGUCAUGGGUGAGCUGGGUCCCCCAAAAAGGAACUUUAAGGGAAUGGACUGAAUCAAGUCUGAGAUGUCCCCAAAGCAAGACCAAAGAACUGAGGAAGAGAAGCAUUCAUCAGAAACCAAAAUUCAGCUACAAGUGAGCAUCCAGAUGGAGGUAUUAUGAAGAGGAACUGAGACUGAGGGCAAAAGGUGCCAGCCAGAAUCCUGGAUAGGAGAGCAAGAACCAGGACCUCAUUUAAGAGACAACCUGCUUAAGGCAGAGUAAGCUUGAUGAACAC